Molecule: ribosomal RNA, 460 nt
Filed under: uncultured bacterium
Lineage: Bacteria
Description: partial 16S ribosomal RNA
Rfam family: Bacterial small subunit ribosomal RNA
Source: RNAcentral
CCUACGGGAGGCAGCAGUGAGGAAUAUUGGUCAAUGGACGAGAGUCUGAACCAGCCAAGUAGCGUGAAGGAUGAAUGCCCUAUGGGUGGUAAACUUCUUUUAUAAAGGAAUAAAACGAGGCACGUGUGCCUUUUUGCAUGUACUUUAUGAAUAAGGAUCGGCUAACUCCGGGCCAGCAGCCGCGGUAAUACGGAGGAUCCGAUCGUUAUCCGGAUUUAUUGGGUUUAAAGGGAGCGUAGAUGGGUUGUUAAGUCAGUUGUGAAAGUUUGCGGCUCAACCGUAAAAUUGCAAUUGAUACUGGCAGUCUUGAGUACAGUUGAGGUAGGCGGAAUUCGUGGUGUAGCGGUGAAAUGCUUAGAUAUCACGAAGAACCCCGAUUGCGAAGGCAGCUUACUAAACUGUGACUGACAUUGAUGCUCGAAAGUGUGGGUAUCAAACAGGAUUAGAUACCCCAGUAGUC